RNAcentral lists this long non-coding RNA (4894 nucleotides) under Paramuricea clavata. The record is from RNAcentral. Lineage: Eukaryota; Metazoa; Cnidaria; Anthozoa; Malacalcyonacea; Plexauridae.
AGAUCUUAUUAAAAUCUGCCUGCUAUUGCUAGGUGUGCCAUAUGUAUGGUGGAUUUUGACUACGGUGACGCAAUACGAUUCCUUCCUUGUCUACAUAUUUAUCAUAAAGAAUGUAUUGAUGAUUGGUUAAUAAGAUCAUUUACGUGUCCAUCAUGUAUGGAACCAGUUGAUGCUGCCUUGUUAUCAUCUUAUGAAACAUCAGAUUAAAUGAUUGUCCAGGUAAGCUACAGUACAUAUCUAAUUUAUCGAGACAUAAAUUCUUACCCAAAUGUUCAUAUAUUGCAAUGUCUAAAUGAACGUAUAGUUAACUUGCUUUCUGACUCGUGUCUGAUCACGGAGCAUAGCUACGAUGGAAGGGUAGUUUGGGAUAUUUCGUAUAAACCCACCCUGUCAAUAUUCACUGUGGAAGGAAACCGGAGAGCCAGAGAAAACCCAUCCACUAUUUUCGGUAUAGAGCGUUGACUGACUCUUUUUCAUGUAAAUGCAGGGCCGCAGAGAGGGGGGGGGNNNNNNNNNNNNNNNNNNNNGGGGGGGGGGGAAUUGCCCCGAGGUGCUGGGGGCCUCUGAAAAUUUUUUGUUGAGCCCCAGUCUUUUUUGUGUGUUAAAUAUUUCCGCGCAAAGGACAAGAUAUCUGUUUUUUGGGCUAAGUACCGAAAUUUGGCAUGAAAAAAUGAGAUAAAGUCUCUGGAAAGCAAUUGCAACGUAUUUGUCCGGAAAAAAAUUUUACCUAAAAAGUUGUCGACGGGGGGGUGGNNNNNNNNNNNNNNNNNNNNCCCCCAAGCUAAGUUUACAUGUUUCCUUGUUCCAUAUGAUUUUUUGGCAUAGUUCCCAUGUUCCUUUUGCAAUAUAUGCCUUGUUCUCUAAAAUCCCCUUUAAUAUGGUGUUUAAUUAAACACCAGAAAUACCAAAUAGAUUCUAUAUUGUAGGUAUAUCAAUAAUAUAUUUGAACUCCAAUAUUGAAUAUCAGAUAGUUCAUAUUAUUCACUUUACACAAACAUAGUUCAACCCACACACAGUUGUUCAACCCACAUUACAUAAUGUCUUCCUCUAAGCAACACUAUGUUUCAUUGUGGGUGUAUAUAUGUUAGUAGGUUUGUUGGGUAUGUAUCUUAGGGUUGUUUUAAAAGAUAUAAACCUUGGUUACCCCCUAUAAUUAAAAGGUUUUUUUAAUAUGCAUAGCUGUCUCAGCUUGGUUAUCUUUAUCUAGUAAUUACAUGACUGUUUAGAUUUUAUUAUGCAUUCUUAAUGACACAACAGUGUAGGCAGUGUUGAUUAAACAUUUCUCCAUUGAAGGAUAUCACUAACCUGAACAGUGUAUAAAACUUUGACACAACAGACGUAUGUAUGUCCCUUGUAUGGAAGUCAAGGCCGGAUUUUUGGUGGAAAUGGUGGGGGAGGUGGAGAAAAUUUAGGGGAGGUGUUGUGGUCUAGCUUACAGUCCCCAUGAAAUAUUUAGGGCUUAGAACGUAGCCCCUAAAAUAUAUAUUAUUAUGCAUGUACUGUGCAUAUGUAUCAGACUGAGUGUAUUUAUGUACGAUUCAUCCAAUUUCACCCUUUGCUACCAGUACAAAGCUUCUUUCACACAUUGCAUUAAAAAUAUGGUCACAUUUGUCAAAGUGUCAUUUUGAUCUAUCAUGUAACGUUUCCAAAGGGGAGGUGCACGAAUCUUCAGAGGAGGUGGAUGAAUCUUCAGGGAAGGUGCAAAAAAUCUCAGGGGAGGGGCAAAAUGAUCUCUGGGGAGGUGCACACCUCCCCUCAAAAUCUGGCUAUGAUGGAAGUUUGUGAUGGGCCUCAAAGGUUUUUCUCUAUGUUUGAAGUAUUGGAUAUCCUUCAACUAAAACAAAAUUCUUAAUUUCUUACUGUUCGUAAUGGGAGAGUUUGAAGUCAGGGCAGGUGGGUGUUGUGUGACACCUGCAAAUUUAAUGUAUGAUGAGAUGUGCUUUACAAGUUAAUGUGCUUUACAAGUACCUGUAUGUGCUUUACAAGUUAAUAAACUGUAAUAUGAAUUCUAUGGUACAACCCCCUUCAAAUGAUUUAUUUGGGAACUUGUUACUCUAAGUUCAGUGGCAAUUUUUAAACCCCCUUACAUGUCAUUUCCCAUGCUCACUCUUUCUGAGCAAAGAGCAAGCAUGGACAAUGACGUCUGGGUUCGCGGACUACCCUCUAUUUAGCCUCAUCCACAUUUAAACACAUGUGUAAGUAAUUGGCCCGUUUUUUCCUCACUGUGUUUUAAUAUAAAGAAACAUCAUGUGAAACACAAACGAUUUCUGUUUGAUCUGAGAAACCCUGGGAAUGAAGAUGAGUUUGCUCUAGAAAAAUUCCAUCAUGCCCAGUACACCCAGUAAGAAUAGCCCAUCACAAUGGCCAUAUCCAGCAAGUAUUCUCCCAAUACCACAGGCUUAUUUUUCCAAAGACUUGCAAUGAAAAAUUGAAAGCUUUACAUUUUACACAGAGCUGGAAACUUUGUGUAAAGACAUCUGUUGACAAUAUCAGCCCACACGAGUGGGAGAAAAUUUGCCAAUUUUGACCAAUCUGCAUAUUUAACUGCGCAGUGCAUGCUGGUUUAAUUGUUAUUUUACUCUGCCCAUUGCCAGAAGGUUUUACUCACCACUUGAGAGAAGAACUCUGAUGCUCAUUGGGUUAAAUGAACCUCCAGGCCNNNNNNNNNNNNNNNNNNNNGGGGGGGGGGGGUUGUUCUCCGAAAAUAAUUUUUUCCGGAAAAAUGUUUUUAGAUAGGGGCCCCUAAAAAAAAAUUGCCCCGGCCCCCUCCAACCUCUCGGCGGCCCUGUGUAAAUGUCCUGAGUCAGUAGCGAGAAUCGAACCCAUGAUCUCAGAGGUGAAAGGCGCUUGCUCUGACGCCUGCGCCACUGAUGCUCCGCAUUGUGUACCUUCUGAUCUGCUCAAUGAAGCGUAAUUGUAUAUGAUAUAUUCCAUAUUUUCAUUAUUCCGUAGGUCAUAAAAGUGAUCACUGCACAAGAAAUGUAGACAUUUUUGUAGAUUGUAAUUAAUUAAUUGGCGUUGUUUACAGUUGAAAUGAAAGUAGCUGCGACACGGGGCAUCAAGUUGCCUUAAGGCUAUGUCAUGUUUCUUCCACUUCCUUUCUUAUUUUUAUGCAAAGGUAUAAUGUACACGAAAACGGAACAGUUUGUAAUCGCAUGUCACUUUCAUACUAAUCAACUUUUCAAAGAGCCAAGCUUUUGAAGAGCGGACUAUGUAGUCUAGUCAUCACAAAAUAUGUAUUUUGCAAUGAAAUGUUAACUUGUGUUUCAUCUUGAAAAUUUAACAAAGUUUAACAUUUCAUUGCCAAAAAACCCUUUAAGUUGGAAAGAUUCACAUUUAUUAUUUAGACUUGAUUUUCUCGCCUAUCGUCAAAAUAUUUUAAUAUAAACUUGAUUUCUUAGAUGCAUACACUGCAGUGAUAUACAGCAUUCGCGUCGAUCUAUAUCUGAUAAAACUACGUCUAGCCUUGUAAAUCAGAUACAGAUCCACUGCUCAUGCCUAAAGCCUGUUUUAUACGUCGAAUUUUGGUCGCGUCGAAUGCAAUUAAGACAAUAGAUAAUGAGAUGAUAAAGCUCAUUAAGCUUCAUUAUCUAUUGUUUGAAUUGCAUUCGACGCGACCGAAAUUCAACGUAUAAAACAGGCCUUAUAUAUUACGUGAAGUGAUCCAGUUAAUUAUAUAUUGUAAUUAAUUCAGCGCUACAAACUCUAAUCCGUUUCCCACUGUAGUUGGCAAAACACAACUUUUUAGUAGACGUUAAGCUACUGUGCAUGUACCUUACCAACAUUAUAGAGAGGUUCAGAUUUAUUUCAUUACAAUCCUCCACACAAAUUCGGGAAAACUUUCAAGCGCCUCCCGGAAAGUACCGAUGUCACAGUGAUGUGUGUAUCCUCAUACUCGUAUCACUAUAGAGUUGGGGUUAGAAUUGGUGCUGGGGAUACUGCAUGUGUAUGGGAAUACACCGGGGAUAUGUAGAUUCCAUGCACACCCAUCCCGUAGGCUUAUGAACUUAUAACGAUAGUUAUAUUUGCAAUUUAUUUUUGAAUGUAAAAAUCUGUAAAAAGUAUUGGUUGGUAAAUAGUUUUAGAAAAAGGAAUUACGUUUUGAUGCAGUCACUACACAAAGAGUGAGUGAGAAACUAUGCAGCACAUUUAUUGGAAUUUCAUUGAUUGGAUCAAACUUAUCGAGCAAUAUAUUUUUGUUUUCGAACUGAGAAAAUCCCUUGAAACAUAAACCUCGUCCCCACGACUUUGCCAGGUAUGCUAAUCGCUUUUAAAGAUGAGACAAAAUAUUACAAUAAACAUUUAAAUAUGAAUCUUAAUACAAAUAUAAAUUGUAAACAUACAUGUACAUGUAAACUUGAUGUUUUGUCUCUUUUGUAAAAGCGUGUGCCGUGUGGGGACGAUUUUGUUUGAAUAUAGAUAACAGAUGUUAUAAUGUAGAUAUCGAUUAUAGAUCAUAUAUUCUCUGAAUCAUUGACUUGAUAACAUAGUCAUAGGUCCCUUGCACGCCAGCCAUUUAAGUAGUUACGAUUUGCCAAAAUAUUGGGUAGGAUGUACAAUCCGGAAGUACAUUCCAGAUUAACCAACAAGAAAUAACUGCAAGUUAUGACAUUCGACAAUACUGUAUACUUCGUUCUGGUUUGUGUGCAAGGGAUCUAUAGAUAUAAUAACACUGUAUUUCGCUUAUGGUUUAGCUUAUGACUAAUGUAAAUAAUGUAUUUUGUGUGUGUGUUGUGUGUUGUUGUUUUUUUUGCAUAAAUCAGACGAUGUAAAUAGCAAGGGAGACUAAUUUAUAGAAUAAACAAAUUUAUAGAAUACGAGCAUUGGUUGUGCAAUAUAUAUCCGUUCAUAUAUGAAACAUGAAAUUCUAAUCAGCACGACACGUGUCCCGCGC